Molecule: RNA transcript, 1341 nt
Organism: Fragaria vesca subsp. vesca
Lineage: Eukaryota; Viridiplantae; Streptophyta; Magnoliopsida; Rosales; Rosaceae
Gene name: GDSL esterase/lipase 1-like
Exons: 5
Source: RefSeq, a predicted model, not a curated record
AUGGCAACUUUAAGGUUUUGUUAUAUUUCUGUGUUGGCCUUCUGUGCUAGGCUUGUUAUUCCGGGCAGUUGCCUUGGUCACUUCUCUGUUCAAAAGGGACACAAGCCUUUGUUUGUGUUUGGGGAUUCACUAUUUGAUGCUGGAAACAAUAACUACAUUAACACUCCCAAGACUGCACAGGCCAACUUCUAGCCAUAUGGAGAAACCUAUUUCGGGUACGCCACCGGGAGAUACACUGAUGGGCGUCAAAUUCCAGACUUCAUUGCUCAGUAUUCGAAUUUGCCAUUGAUUCCACCAUAUCUACAACCCGGUUUAUAUAACUAUGUUUAUGGAGUGAACUUUGCAUCUGGGGGAUCUGGUGCUCUGAAUGAAACUCAUCAAGGUGUGGUGAUAGACCUUCAAACUCAGCUUAGUUAUUUCAAAAUUGUUGAAAAGCAAUUGAGGCACAAAUUAGGCUAUGCACAAGCCAAGACAUUACUUUCUAGUGCUGUCGACCUUUUCAGCGUUGGAAGCAAUGAUUACAUAGCCCCUCUGCAAUAUAACAUCAGCAAGGAAUUCUUUGAGUCCUACUCACAAGAAGAAUUCAUAGGGAUGGUGAUUGGCAACAUAACCCAUGUGGUCAAAGAAAUAUACAAGAAAGGAGGAAGGAAAUUUGGGUUUCUAAGCUUGGGGCCAAUUGGUUGUCAUCCAGCUUUGUUAGUAUUUCAGCAGCCAGCAGGAAAGAUAGGAACUUGCAGAGAAAAACUCACAGAAAUGGCACAAAUACACAAUAAGGCAAUUUCAGAAGCCCUCCAUGCGCUAGAGAUCAAACUAGAAGGAUUCAGAUAUUCGUACUUCGACUUCUAUACUUCCAUGAGUGAAAGAUUGAAUAACCCAACAAAAUACGGUUUGAAGGAAGGGAAGAAGGUAUGCUGUGGAAGCGGUCCAUACAGAGCCAUUAACAAUUGUGGAGGAAAGGGGCCAGAGACGGAGUAUGAACUAUGUGACAAUCCUUCAGAGUAUGUGUUCUUUGAUGGCGGUCAUCCAACAGAAAGAACUAACCAGCAGUUCUCCAAGCUAAUGUGGAGUGGAAAUUCCAAUGUCACAUGGCCUUGCAAUUUUCAAGAACUAUUUGGAUCUUCUUAAGAAAAAUAAAUCUAGUCGACACCAAGUUCUUGAGCUGAAGAAAACAUCUAGGACUGGACUAGUCAAUAAUUAUGUUUUCUGAAUAAACAAGUUUGUUAUACCUUAGCUUUCAACAAUAUGUUAAAUUCAAAUAAGCAUCUGCGUGCUUAAUGUUGUAUGCAUAUAUAAAGCAAUAAAACUGAAGAAGAGCCAACAGAUAAGAGCUUUUCACUAUAA